ACGCUGGCGGCGUGCCUAACACAUGCAAGUCGUACGAGAAAGCUGGCUUCGGCCGAUAAGUAAAGUGGCGCACGGGUGAGUAACGCGUGGAUAAUCUACCCUUUAGUUGGGAAUAACUCAUCGAAAGGUGGGCUAAUACCCGAUAAUACUGCUUUUAUUCCGAUUAAGCAGUCAAAGAUAGCCUCUGUUUACAAGCCCUCACUAAAGGAUGAGUCCGCGUACCAUUAGCUAGUUGGUAGGGUAAUUGCCUACCAAGGCGACGAUGGUUAGCUGGUCUGAGAGGAUGAUCAGCCACACUGGAACUGAGACACGGUCCAGACUCCUACGGGAGGCAGCAGUGAGGAAUCUUGCGCAAUGGGGGAAACCCUGACGCAGCAACGCCGCGUGAGUGAGGAAGGUUUUCGGAUCGUAAAGCUCUGUCGGGUGAGAAGAAAUGUAUAGAAGUUAACAGCCUUUAUACUUGACGGUAUCACCAGAGGAAGCACCGGCCAACUCCGUGCCAGCA
Molecule: ribosomal RNA, 505 nt
Filed under: uncultured Smithella sp.
Lineage: Bacteria; Pseudomonadati; Thermodesulfobacteriota; Syntrophia; Syntrophales; Smithellaceae
Description: bacterial SSU rRNA
Rfam family: Bacterial small subunit ribosomal RNA
Source: RNAcentral